AAAGGAAUUGACGGGGGCCCGCACAAGCAGUGGAGCAUGUGGUUUAAUUCGACGCAACGCGAAGAACCUUACCUAGGCUUGAAACGCUAGUUAAUCCCGAUGAAAGUCGGGGUACCGCAAGGUGAACUAGUACAGGUGCUGCAUGGCUGUCGUCAGCUCGUGCCGUGAGGUGUUGGGUUAAGUCCCGCAACGAGCGCAACCCUCGUUCUUAGUUGCCAUCAGAUAAUGCUGGGCACUCUAAGAAGACUGCCUACGCAAGUAGUGAGGAAGGUGGGGAUGACGUCAAGUCCGCAUGGCCCUUACGCCUAGGGCCACACACGUGCUACAAUGGCCAUCACAAAGGGCUGCAAUACCGCGAGGUGGAGCCAAUCCCUAAAAAAUGGUCUCAGUUCGGAUUGGAGUCUGCAACUCGACUCCAUGAAGCUGGAAUUGCUAGUAAUCGCGCAUCAGCACGGCGCGGUGAAUACGUUCCCGGGCCUUGUACACACCGCCCGU
Molecule: ribosomal RNA, 495 nt
Filed under: uncultured bacterium
Lineage: Bacteria
Description: bacterial SSU rRNA
Rfam family: Bacterial small subunit ribosomal RNA
Source: RNAcentral